UACAGAGGGUGCGAGCGUUGUCCGGAAUCACUGGGCGUAAAGGGCGCGUAGGCGUCUUGAUAAGCGUGCGGUGAAAGCCCGGGGCUCAACCCCGGGUCGGCCGUGCGAACUGUCGAGCUGGAGCACUGUAGAGGCAGGUGGAAUUCCGGGUGUAGCGGUGGAAUGCGUAGAGAUCCGGAAGAACACCGGUGGCGAAGGCGGCCUGCUGGGCAGUGGCUGACGCUGAGGCGCGACAGCGUGGGGAGCAAACAGG
This 253-nucleotide ribosomal RNA is filed under the name uncultured bacterium. Its description in RNAcentral is "partial 16S ribosomal RNA". It matches the Rfam family "Bacterial small subunit ribosomal RNA", at positions 524 to 776 of the family's 1533-position model. The record is from RNAcentral.